Molecule: ribosomal RNA, 474 nt
Filed under: uncultured bacterium
Lineage: Bacteria
Description: bacterial SSU rRNA
Rfam family: Bacterial small subunit ribosomal RNA
Source: RNAcentral
GACGACGCUGGCGGCGUGCCUAACACAUGCAAGUCGAGCGGGGUUGAAGCGAGAGGUAACUCGAGCUUCUACCUAGCGGCGGACGGGUGAGUAACGCGUGGGCAACCUGCCUCAAGGUUUGGGAUAACAGCCCGAAAGGGCUGCUAAUACCGGAUAUGCCUAUGGCCUCGCAUGGGGCUAUGAGCAAAGGGGAAACCCGCCUUGAGAUGGGCCCGCGUCCCAUCAGCUAGUUGGUGAGGUAACAGCUCACCAAGGCGACGACGGGUAGCCGGCCUGAGAGGGUGACCGGCCACACUGGGACUGAGACACGGCCCAGACUCCUACGGGGGGCAGCAGUGGGGGAUCUUGCACAAUGGGCGAAAGCCUGAUGCAGCGACGCCGCGUGAGCGAAGAAGGCCUUCGGGUUGUAAAGCUCUGUCUGGAGGGACGAACAAAAUGACGGUACCUCCGGAGGAAGCCACGGCUAACUACGUG